Molecule: long non-coding RNA, 393 nt
Organism: Gasterosteus aculeatus aculeatus (three-spined stickleback)
Lineage: Eukaryota; Metazoa; Chordata; Actinopteri; Perciformes; Gasterosteidae
Source: Ensembl
CACGGCCGACACCGGGCGGCUACCGCAUCUCCACCCGCCCCGGACACGUCCGGAUAUACCGGCCGAUCGCCGGUUCCCGACACACCGCCCUCCGGCCACCGUCUCCCGACGGUAAUGAUUGUUUUCAAGAUGGAGCCGGUUCCUGACGCUGCGACCAGCUCAGUGUUUCUUGCGCCGUUUCACGGUUUAGCCGCGGUCAAUCACGACCUAGGAGCCCUGGUUUGGGUGUCAUGAGAAGCCGGUCACCGUGCAGUGUUACCGGAUGCCUCGCGUGAACCGGACGACCGUUUUAACGCUGCUGAUCAUCAGCAGCUCCGUGUUUCUGCUGUUCCAGUUACAUUACUACCGGAAGUACGUCAGCAAGCAUGCGUUUCUUCUGCAGCAAGGUCCUUA